This 430-nucleotide ribosomal RNA is filed under the name uncultured bacterium. RNAcentral's name for it is "bacterial SSU rRNA". It matches the Rfam family "Bacterial small subunit ribosomal RNA", at positions 353 to 798 of the family's 1533-position model. The record is from RNAcentral.
AUUGGGGAAUCUUCCGCAAUGGGCGAAAGCCUGACGGAGCAAUACCGCGUGAGAGAAGAAGGCCUAUGGGUUGUAAACCUCUUUUCUCAAGGAAGAAGAACUGACGGUACUUGAGGAAUAAGCCACGGCUAAUUCCGUGCCAGCAGCCGCGGUAAUACGGGAGUGGCAAGCGUUAUCCGGAAUUACUGGGCGUAAAGCGUCUGUAGGUGGUUUAAUAAGUCAACUGUUAAAUCUUGAGGCUUAACUUCAAAACAGCAGUCGAAACUAUUAGACUAGAGUAUAGUAGAGGUAAAGGGAAUUUCCAGUGGAGCGGUGAAAUGCGUAGAUAUUGGAAAGAACACCGAUGGCGAAAGCACUUUACUGGGCUAUUACUAACACUCAGAGACGAAAGCUAGGGUAGCAAAUGGGAUUAGAUACCCCAGUAGUCAAU